This is a long non-coding RNA of Triticum dicoccoides, 171 nucleotides long. RefSeq lists it as uncharacterized. NCBI's taxonomy places the organism in Eukaryota, Viridiplantae, Streptophyta, Magnoliopsida, Poales, Poaceae. The transcript is spliced from 3 exons. The record is from RefSeq and is a predicted model, not a curated record.
CAGACUACAACAGUUUGUUGGCUUGCUUCGGACAGUCUUUCGCUGUGCUAUACUAUUUGUGAAGAGGUAAAGACAUAUGAUAAGCAAAGAGGGAUAAAAUGAUUCCACAUACUGGGUAUUAUUUGAACUGAUAUGGAGGGACUACUUCAGAUUUCUUUUCAUUAAAAUAUG